CGCUCCGCAAAGGCAAUAAGCCAAGAACACGAACACCACCUUAACACUCAACCGAUUCUAGUCCAAAGCGAAUCUCUCUCUGUCUCAGUGUCUUUCUCUCUCCAGAAUUUAUUUGACAACAAAACCUUAGGCUGAGAGACAAGCCGGUCUGAGAUUCGCAAACCAAGUUGUUUCUGAUGGAAGACACUAACACUAUGUCUGCUAACAAUGUGGCUCGCGCCAUAGCAACUGCCCUGGACUGGAGUUCCACUCCCGACGCUCGAAAAGCCGCUGUCUCUUUUCUCGAAUCUAUCAAAUCAGGUGACUUGCGGAUUUUGGCAAACACUUCAUUUCUUUUGGUAAAAAAGGAUUGGUCAUCUGAAAUUCGGCUGCAUGCUUUUAAAAUGCUGCAGCAUUUGGUGCGAUUAAGGUGGGAUGAAUUAAGCCCUUCUGAGCGUAAGAACUUUGCAAAUCUUUCUGUUGAUUUGAUGUCUGAGAUUGCUGAUCCUUGUGAAGAAUGGGCACUUAAAAGCCAGACUGCUGCCCUUGUUGCUGAGAUAAUUAGAAGGGAGGGCCUUAAUCUAUGGCAAGAAUUGUUUCCAUCACUGAUUUCUUUAUCUGGCAAUGGUCCUAUUCAAGCUGAGUUGGUUUCAAUGAUGCUUCGGUGGCUUCCUGAAGACAUCACAGUUCACAAUGAAGACUUGGAAGGUGACCGUCGAAGGCUACUCUUGCGUGGGUUAACACAAUCUCUGCCUGAAAUUUUGCCUCUGUUGUAUAAUUUAUUAGAAAAGCACUAUGGAGCUGCUAUUGAAGAAGCAGGUAGACAGCAGAUGGACAGUGCAAAACAGCACGCUGCUACAGUAACAGCUACUCUCAAUGCUAUAAAUGCGUAUGCUGAGUGGGCUCCUUUGCCUGAUCUUGCUAAGCACGGCAUCAUUAACGGUUGUGGCUUCCUUCUUUCUGCUCCAGAUUUUCGUCUUCAUGCUUGUGAGUUUUUUAAGCUAAUUUCCCCAAGGAGGAGACCUGCUGACACAUCUGCUUCUGAGUUUGACUACGCUAUGAACAGCAUCUUCCAGAUCUUGAUGAACAUAUCGAGAGAAUUUUUGUACAGAUCUGAAUCAAGUCCUGAUGCCCUAGAUGAGGGUGACUAUGAAUUUGCAGAAUAUAUUUGUGAAAGUAUGGUGUCAUUGGGUUCGUCAAACUUGCAAAGUAUUGCUGGAGAUACCACCAUACUUCCUCUUUACCUAGAACAGAUGCUGGGAUAUUUUCGACAUUUCAAGUUUGCUAUUCAUUUCCCAUCCCUGCACUUUUGGCUGGUGCUGAUGAGAGAUUUAAUGUCAAAACCAAAGAACUCUGUAAACUCUGCUGCAGAUAGUUCAGCUACCGGUGGCUCUGGAGAGGGUGAAAAUGCGAAGAAAAAGAUUCUAAGUUUAGUGAAUGACAAUUUUUGUGGUGCAAUUUUGGAUACGUCUUUCCCUCGCAUGCUCAAGAAAGAAAAGCUUCUUCCUGAAACUGCAGUUUCCUUAGGCGUAUUGGAGUUGUGGAGUGAUGGUUUUGAAGGCAAGGGUGAAUUCAGUCAAUACCGGUCCAGGCUGUUGGAGCUGAUUAGGUUUAUUUCAUCUUACAAACCUCUGAUGGCUGCUACUAAAGUUUCGGAAAAGAUUAAUGCGAUUAUCAUGAACCUGUUGCAUUCAUCAGCACCGGCUCAGGACUUAGCUGUGAUGGAAAGCAUGCAGUUGUCUUUGGAGAAUGUUGUUAAUGCAGUUUUUGAUGGUUCCAAUGAAUUUGCCAAGGCAUAUGCUGAAGUUCAGCUUACAGUUUGUAGUAUAUUUGAAGGCUUACUUCGGCAACUUCUUUCUAUAAAAUGGACGGAGCCUGCCCUUGUGGAAGUACUUGGUCACUAUCUGGAUGCUAUGGGUCCAUUUUUGAAGUAUUUUCCAGAUGCGGUUGGGAGCGUUAUCAAUAAACUAUUUGAGCUUCUUACUUCCCUUCCUUUUGUCAUCAAGGAUACUUCGACAUUUAGUGCACGUCAUGCAAGGUUACAGAUUUGUACGUCAUUUAUUCGGAUAGCAAAAGCUGCUGACAAAAGCAUUCUGCCUCACAUGAAGGGCAUUGCUGAUACCAUGGCCUGUUUGCAAAAGGAGGGCCGUUUGCUUCAGGGAGAGCAUAAUCUUCUGGGUGAAGCUUUUCUUGUUAUGGCUUCUGCUGCUGGGUUUCAACAACAACAGGAAGUAUUAGCCUGGCUAUUAGAACCUUUGAGCCAACAGUGGACACAAUCAGAAUGGCAGGAGAAAUAUUUAUCUGAUCCACCAGGGUUAAUUCGCUUGUGCUCAGAAGCACCGGUGAUGUGGUCAAUUUUUCAUACUGUGACAUUCUUUGAGAAGGCACUUAAGAGGAGUGGCAUGAAGAAAGCUUAUUGGAAUUCAGAAAAUAGCUCGACACCAAAUUCCACUUCUUCAAACCCAAUGGCUUCUCAUAUGUUAUGGAUGCUGCCUCCUCUCUUAAAACUUCUCCGUGCUAUACAUUCUCUCUGGUCUCCAUCCAUAUACCAAAUGUUACCUGUGGAAGUCAAAGCUGCAAUGAGCAUGAGUGAUGUUGAGAGAUUCAGUCUUCUAGGAGAAGGAAACCCGAAAUUGUCAAAAGGUGCUUUGGCUUUCAUGGAUGGAUCUCAGGUCAAUAUGAAUAAGGAAGGACACGCAGAACCAAAUGAAUCUGAUAUACGAAAUUGGUUGAAAGGAAUCAGGGACAGUGGAUAUAACGUACUGGGCUUGUCGACAACUAUUGGAGAUAUGUUUUUCAAAAUUUCUGAUGUGCACACUGUUGCUGUUGCCUUGAUGGAGAAUAUACAGUCAAUGGAGUUCAGGCAUAUAAGGCAGCUCGUUCACUCUAUUUUGAUUCCUUUAGUUAAACAUUGUCCUCCAGAUAUGUGGGAGAUUUGGCUGGAAAAGCUGUUGCACCCAUUAUUUAUCUUCGCUCAGCAGGCUCUCAGCUGUUCAUGGUCUAGUCUUCUGCAAGAUGGUAGAGCAAAGGUUCCAGAUGUUCACAGCAUUCUCGCUGGAUCAGACUUGAAAGUAGAAGUGAUGGAGGAAAAACUUCUCAGGGAUCUCACACGUGAGAUGUGUUUGCUCCUCUCCGUUAUUGCUUCUCCACCACUUAAUGGUGGACUCCCUUCUUUAGAGCAGUCUGGGCAUGUCAGUCGUUUAGACACUUCUUCUCUGAAAAGCUUGGAUUCAGUUGCAUCAGGCUCUAUGGUUGGUUACCUUCUGAAGCAUAAAGGCUUAGCACUGCCAAUGCUGCAUAUAUGCUUAGAAGCUUUUACAUGGACUGAUAGUGAAGCUGUGACAAAAGUUUCCUCGUAUUGUUCUGUGUUGAUAGUUAUAUCAAUAUGGACAAAUUGUACAGAACUUGUAGAAUUUGUUGCUAGAGAUCUUUUUACUUCCAUUAUUAAGGGUUUAGCCCUUGAGUCAAAUGCUAUAAUUAGUUCUGAGUUAGUCGGCCUCUGUCGGGAAAUAUUUGUGUAUCUCUGCGAUAGACAUCCGGCUCCCAGACAGGUUUUGUUGUCUCUCCCCUCGAUCACACCCCAUGAUUUGCUUGCUUUUGAAGAAGCUUUAACAAAAACAGCCAGUCCAAAGGAACAGAAACAACAUAUGAAAAGCCUGCUUCUGUUAGCAACUGGAAACAAAUUGAAAGCGCUUGCAGCUCAGAAAAGUGUGAAUGUCAUCACAAAUGUUUCAACCAGGUAUUGAGACUAGGCUUCGUUAAAAGAUGGGUUAAGGUUGCCUGAGUCUAGGAUCUGCGAUAUCUACUUUUACUGGCUAUAUUCAACUUCUAAGCUCUUUUGCUUAUCAUUCAGCGAGACCGCGCAGCUCGUCUAAUGUUCCUGAAUACAAAGUUGGCGAUGAGGAUGCUGUGGGACUGGCGGCUAUUUUGUAAUAUCAAUCUGAGCUUAUGAUAGGGUGUGUACAGAAACGGGCUCUUGUUGAGUGAGGAGUUUCUUGCUAAACUUUGGAGGCUGAAAACCCCUUUAACUUAUAAAAGUAUGAAAACGAGUGGGAAGUGCGAGAUUUUGCGUCCUUCCUCUCUUGGCUCAUAGGAACACAGAAAUCAGCAUUAGCAGAAGACAAUAUGUUGAGGUGGACAGUGUAAUUAACGGCCGUAGAAGGUUUGUAGUUGUUGAGCCGCACCUGAUCUGUUAUCCAAAGGGGCGUGGCGUGGGAUCACUGAGGACCAAAUAUUUCGUGUCCUUCCCCCCGGGAUUUGAGGUUAAACGGUCUUCUGGCCUUGAUAGCGUUGAAAUAUUUAUCACGCAAGUUCUUGAUGAAGCAAAGUAAUUGUGAUUGAUUGCUGGCAAAAAAAAAAAAAAAGUAACUGUGUUUGAUAUAUGA
Neltuma alba is the source of this 4364-nucleotide RNA transcript. It is a transcript of the gene named protein HASTY 1, with no coding region annotated. The record is from RefSeq and is a predicted model, not a curated record. Lineage: Eukaryota; Viridiplantae; Streptophyta; Magnoliopsida; Fabales; Fabaceae. The transcript has 23 exons.